UCCCUGCUAGCUCAGUGGUAGAGCGCUUCACUAGUACCGACUGAAGUUCUAUGAAGAGGUCAGUCGUUCAAGUCGGCUGCGGGGAA
Molecule: non-coding RNA, 86 nt
Organism: Schizophyllum commune H4-8
Lineage: Eukaryota; Fungi; Basidiomycota; Agaricomycetes; Agaricales; Schizophyllaceae
Source: the annotation of a RefSeq genome assembly